Molecule: ribosomal RNA, 498 nt
Filed under: uncultured bacterium
Lineage: Bacteria
Description: partial 16S ribosomal RNA
Rfam family: Bacterial small subunit ribosomal RNA
Source: RNAcentral
GACGAACGCUGGCGGCGUGCCUAAUACAUGCAAGUCGAGCGGACGAAUCGAAAGCUUGCUUUUGAUUCGUUAGCGGCGGACGGGUGAGUAACACGUGGGCAACCUGCCCUGUAGACGGGGAUAACACCGAGAAAUCGGUGCUAAUACCGGAUAACACGAAAUGUCGCAUGACGUUUCGUUGAAAGACGGCGCAAGCUGUCGCUACAGGAGGUGCCCGCGGCGCAUUAGCUAGUUGGUGAGGUAACGGCUCACCAAGGCGACGAUGCGUAGCCGACCUGAGAGGGUGAUCGGCCACACUGGGACUGAGACACGGCCCAGACUCCUACGGGAGGCAGCAGUAGGGAAUCUUCCGCAAUGGACGAAAGUCUGACGGAGCAACGCCGCGUGAGCGAAGAAGGCCUUCGGGUCGUAAAGCUCUGUUGUUAGGGAAGAACAAGUAACGCAGUAACUGGCGUUACCGUGACGGUACCUAACGAGAAAGCAACGGCUAACUACGUG